GACGGCUGUGGCUGGGUGGAUGUCGGCACGGUGACCCUUCGAAUCGAUACGUGCUAUGUGCAAUGUCAGGAGGUGACGGAGGAGUGUUGGGAUCAGAAAUUCACGUGCGAUGACGACGGAAAUUUGCGAGUGACGUUUUA
This 140-nucleotide non-coding RNA is filed under the name Foraminifera environmental sample. Lineage: Eukaryota; Foraminifera. The record is from RNAcentral.